GUGGAGAGAUAGAGUGUGUGAGAGAGAGAUGUGGAUAGUGUGUGUGUGAGAGAGAUGUGGAGAGAUAGAGUGUGAGAGAGAGAGAUGUGGAGAGAUAGAGUGUGGGAGAAUGAGAUGUGGAGAGAUAGUGUGAGAGAGAGAUGUGGAGAGAUAGAGUGUGUGAGAGAGAGAUGUGGAGAGAUAGAGUGUGUGAGAGAGAGAUGUGGAGAGAUAGAGUGUGAGAGAGAGAUGUGGAGAGAUAGAGUGUGAGAGAGAGAGAGAUGUGGAGAGAUAGAGUGUGUGAGAGAGAGAUGUGGAGAGAUAGAGUGUGAGAAAUAGAGAUGUGGAGAGAUAGAGUGUGUGAGAGAGAGAUGUGGAGAGAUAGAGUGUGGGAGAAUGAGAUGUGGAGAGAUAGUGUGAGAGAGAGAUGUGGAGAGAUAGAGUGUGUGAGAGAGAGAUGUGGAGAGAUAGAGUGUGUGAGAGAGAGAUGUGGAGAGAUAGAGUGUGAGAGAGAGAUGUGGAGAGAUAGAGUGUGAGAGAGAGAGAGAUGUGGAGAGAUAGAGUGUGUGAGAGAGAGAGAUGUGGAGAGAUAGAGUGUGAGAAAUAGAGAUGUGGAGGGGGAGACAGGGAGAGAGAAACGUGGAGGGAGAGAAUGAGUGAGAAAGAAAUAGAGAGAGCAAGGGAGUCAGAGAGCGAUGUAGAGGGAGGGAGUGAGAGAGACAAAGAGACCUGAAAACUUUAUAUCUUCAAAUGUAAUAAAUCUACAUACUAUAAAGUGCUUUAAUAAACUGUUGGUUCACCACAAGCUACAGCUUCAGUGUUCCUUGGGAUCAAUUCUACAGGGACGGUACCUGAGCGAGGAACACCGUUCCUCUCAAACCGUUUCCUCAGCUGGUGUUUUGACAAUGACGAUGGAGAGCGCUGACGAACACAUCCACUCAAAAUUAAGGUUCAUAAGAACUCGUCUUCCAGCAGGGAUUAUCCACACAAUUUGGCCAAAUCCCACCUGGCUUCCUAUUCAUUAUACAGGACUGUAUAUGCUCACUAUGUGGGGUAUAACAUAGCACACUGUACUCACUAGCACUCAGACAAUUACUUAUUGAAAAUUUAAGCUUGUUGGAUGUACGAUUUAGGAAUUUCACCGUCUCUGGUAGAAGGAUGCUGCUAUAAUGCAGUACUUGAUGAAGCACUUUCCAUAACAUGGGUUUAAUUGGUGUAAUCUCACAGCUGUGCGUGCCAAUAACUGCCGACAGCCAGCAAUUUUGCCGCCUAUAAACGCACCGUCGCCGGCUACUCACAGUGUUUUGUUGUUGUUGUUGUUUUUAAAUUAAAAAUUCCCUUGUGA
Molecule: long non-coding RNA, 1324 nt
Organism: Neoarius graeffei (lesser salmon catfish)
Lineage: Eukaryota; Metazoa; Chordata; Actinopteri; Siluriformes; Ariidae
Exons: 2
Source: RefSeq, a predicted model, not a curated record